GAUAUGGCUUUUCCUGUUCUAUUCAUCAAGAAAUGCCUUGAACACUAACAUUGUGGCUUUGCUUUACUCAUAGGGCCAUUUGUCAGCUCUGUGGGAAGAAACAAGACAGUU
RNAcentral lists this small nucleolar RNA (111 nucleotides) under Dipodomys ordii (Ord's kangaroo rat). The record is from RNAcentral. Lineage: Eukaryota; Metazoa; Chordata; Mammalia; Rodentia; Heteromyidae.